RNAcentral lists this long non-coding RNA (420 nucleotides) under Musa acuminata (dwarf banana). RNAcentral describes it as "long non-coding RNA (MACU_LNC010423)". Lineage: Eukaryota; Viridiplantae; Streptophyta; Magnoliopsida; Zingiberales; Musaceae. The record is from RNAcentral.
GACAACACAUACAAUUUCGUCAUCUGUAAUUGGGGCAUUGAGGAUUGAAAUAGCUUCCGAAUCAAGUUUUCUAGUCGGCUCCACAUGAAUGUUAUUAGGUUUCCCAGCUUGAUUGACUAAGGAAUAAAAAAAUUACUCUGUGUGUGCUUUAACCUCAUCUAAAUUCUCAAUAAGAUUAUCAUCUUUGUCUCUGCAUUUGCUGAUACGGUUAACAGCCCUUCGAGUAGCAAUUGAAGCAUAGAAAAAUUUAGCAUUGGAAUCCCCUAGUGUAAGCCAAUGCUGUCGAGACUUCUGCUUUGCAAAACUUUCCUCCUGUUUUAAGGCUUGCAUGAAGUUAUUUCUAGCUUCUGUCUCUUUGUAGAUAAUAUUCUCAUCAUUUGGCUGAAGUUGCAGCUCAUGUUGCAAUGACAUUAGUUCCUU